AGUGAACGCUGGCGGUAGGCCUAACACAUGCAAGUCGAACGGCAGCACAGGAGAGCUUGCUCUCUGGGUGGCGAGUGGCGGACGGGUGAGGAAUACAUCGGAAUCUACUCUGUCGUGGGGGAUAACGUAGGGAAACUUACGCUAAUACCGCAUACGACCUACGGGUGAACGCAGGGGACCUUCGGGCCUUGCGCGAUUGAAUGAGCCGAUGUCGGAUUAGCUAGUUGGCGGGGUAAAGGCCCACCAAGGCGACGAUCCGUAGCUGGUCUGAGAGGAUGAUCAGCCACACUGGAACUGAGACACGGUCCAGACUCCUACGGGAGGCAGCAGUGGGGAAUAUUGGACAAUGGGCGCAAGCCUGAUCCAGCCAUACCGCGUGGGUGAAGAAGGCCUUCGGGCUGUAAAGCCCUUUUGUUGGGAAAGAAAUCCAGUUGGCUAAUACCCGGUUGGGAUGACGGUACCCAAAGAAUAAGCACCGGCUAACUUCGUGCCAGCCGCCGCGGUAA
RNAcentral lists this ribosomal RNA (506 nucleotides) under uncultured bacterium. RNAcentral describes it as "partial 16S ribosomal RNA". It matches the Rfam family "Bacterial small subunit ribosomal RNA", at positions 29 to 523 of the family's 1533-position model. The record is from RNAcentral.